RNAcentral lists this ribosomal RNA (484 nucleotides) under uncultured bacterium. RNAcentral describes it as "partial 16S ribosomal RNA". It matches the Rfam family "Bacterial small subunit ribosomal RNA", at positions 30 to 507 of the family's 1533-position model. The record is from RNAcentral.
AUUGAACGCUGGCGGCAGGCCUAACACAUGCAAGUCGAGCGGAUGAAGGGAGCUUGCUCCUGGAUUCAGCGGCGGACGGGUGAGUAAUGCCUAGGAAUCUGCCUGGUAGUGGGGGAUAACGUCCGGAAACGGGCGCUAAUACCGCAUACGUCCUGAGGGAGAAAGUGGGGGAUCUUCGGACCUCACGCUAUCAGAUGAGCCUAGGUCGGAUUAGCUAGUUGGUGGGGUAAAGGCCUACCAAGGCGACGAUCCGUAACUGGUCUGAGAGGAUGAUCAGUCACACUGGAACUGAGACACGGUCCAGACUCCUACGGGAGGCAGCAGUGGGGAAUAUUGGACAAUGGGCGAAAGCCUGAUCCAGCCAUGCCGCGUGUGUGAAGAAGGUCUUCGGAGUGUAAAGCACUUUAAGUUGGGAGGAAGGGCAGUAAGUUAAUACCUUGCUGUUUUGACGGUACCAACAGAAUAAGCACCCGCUAACUUCGUG